UACGGAGGGUGCAAGCGUUAUCCGGAUUCACUGGGUUUAAAGGGUGCGUAGGUGGGUUGGUAAGUCCGUGGUGAAAUCUCCGAGCUUAACUCGGAAACUGCCGUGGAUACUAUCAAUCUUGAAUACUGUGGAGGUAAGCGGAAUAUGUCAUGUAGCGGUGAAAUGCUUAGAUAUGACAUAGAACACCGAUAGCGAAGGCAGCAUACUAAGGAGUAACUGACGCUGAGGCACGAAAGUGUGGGGAUCAAACAGG
This 253-nucleotide ribosomal RNA is filed under the name uncultured bacterium. RNAcentral's name for it is "partial 16S ribosomal RNA". It matches the Rfam family "Bacterial small subunit ribosomal RNA", at positions 524 to 776 of the family's 1533-position model. The record is from RNAcentral.